This is a long non-coding RNA of Ailuropoda melanoleuca (giant panda), 2438 nucleotides long. RefSeq lists it as uncharacterized. The record is from RefSeq and is a predicted model, not a curated record. Lineage: Eukaryota; Metazoa; Chordata; Mammalia; Carnivora; Ursidae. The transcript has 4 exons.
GCUGUGCCACCCAGGCGCCCCUGGUAAAUGCAAUUUUUGAUAAAUGAUACAUGUUUUGAUGAAUUAACAGAGAUGUUCUUUUGGUAAUUCAAAAACUGAAAAUAAGCUUUUAUCUCAGCCUCUUAUAAAGAAGCUGAUUGUCAGGCUGCUGGGAGAAUCAUGUUUCCACAGUGGGUGGUGGCUCCUGUUAGUACUGGAAAUAUUAUUGGUAAAGGUGAAUCCAGUACAACUAGCUAAUCUGUGCCUGGUGCCAGUAAAGAAGGUUAGUUGAAUUGUUGAAUUGUCACAUACUGAAGAAGAGAAAAAAAAAAAAAAAAGAAAGAAAGAAAUGAAGAAAGAAAGAAAAGGUUGAAUGUAGCCUAAUCUAUUGUUCUGUUCAAACAAAAUUUGCAGUGAAAUGAGUAUAAAGCAGAUCACAGGAGGAAAAGGAUAAGAGUAAUGAAAAAAGGAUAAGAAUAAUGAAAAUAUGGGGACAUUUUAUUUUCUGCAUACUUUUGACUGUGUAUAAAGAUCAAUUACUUGCUAAGAGUUAUUUUCCUUCCUUGAGAUUACCUUAAAAUAACUAUAAAACUUUAUCAUGCUGGUAAGGAAAUGCCAAAUAUAGAUGAUUUAUUUUAUAUGUAUAGAUUAUUUGCCAAAGAGUUGAUUUCACUACUGUAGAUUGUUGUAGGUUAUGUAAAACUUCAUUUUAGAGGAUUAAUUAAAAUAUUUGAAAAAUUGAUGCACAGGUGCAAAAUUCGAGAUUUGAAAGCAGUGCAUUAGAAAGCAUCUUCCCCCAGACAUUGAGUUCUCCUGCCCGGAGGCAACCCUGUUGAUGAUUUAUUGGAUUCCUUUCACAGACAAGUUAUGCAUAUAAAAACAUACCUAUUUAGUCUUAAAAAAAUCCAAGUUGCAGCCUACUAGUCACAUCCUAUGCCUUGCUUUUUUUCACUUAAUGCAACUUAGAGAUCAUUCAGAAAGAGCAGUCAAGGCAGGCCUAUUUGAAUUUAUGUCCCUACAUGCCCAGCUCCCUUUACUUAUUCCUCCCUUUCUCUGUUUUGUUUCCAUAGCUCUCAUUACUUUCUAUCGCACUGUAAUUGAAUGAUUUACUAUGUUUAUUGUUUGUCUUUCCCCUGGAUUGCAGGAGCCAUGGGGACAAAGAAUUUUUGUGCCAUUUGUGGUCUGCUGUGUUUGUAACACCUAGAAUGGUGACUGGCACAUAGCAGGGUCUCCAUAAAUAUUGUUGAAUGAAUGAGUGAAUGAGUGUUUCAAAGGAAAAAUGAUGCAUUGGUAAAAACCCAGAGAGAAAUAUGUAGAAAUUUAAGAUCUUUGAAACCAUUCAUGUAAAAACUGUAUUGAUGUGAUUAAACCCGCUCUUCACCAGCAGAAGUGGAAAGCUCAAGUAACUGUCUCUGCUGAUUGCCAAACAUUUUUGUGCUAAAAUCAUUCAGAAAAGGCCAAUGCCUCUGGCUACUUAUCUCUUGCUAUUCCCAGAGUUCUGCCUUUUUUUCUUCCCCCAGACUUCUUUUUCAGCUAUAACCUUUUCAUUUAAUUACUUCCCUCCCAGCUCCAUAUCUCCUAUGUCUUCAGUAGCAUUUUGUGAAAAUGUAAUGGAGUUCCUGGGUCUUUUUUCUGAAAGCAUCUUUGUAGUGAGAUAUCUCACUAAGUCCCAGCAGUUAGCACUUGUAAACAGGCUGUGGAAGGAUGUCCAGCAUUCAUUAUAGAAAAGGAAGGAGAGCCUACCGUCUUUGCGUUUUGGGACCUUACAGGAGGCGCUGAAAGGGUUUGGUUUCAUCAGAACAGUCACCUGUGUUUUUAUAUAAUGAUCACAGGAAAAAGGGAUGUUGGACAGAUGCUUUCAAAUGGCCUAAGUAAAAAAAUAUUUGGAAUCAUUAAAAAAAAAGGAGGCGGAGGAAAACAAAAUAAAUGGCUUGCUCUCCUGGUCACCUUUAGGUAGAUAUCUGAUUUGGUGGGGCCAGUGGCUAUUUAGAAUAUUCUUAAUUUGUGCUUUCUUGCAUUUUGAUUACCUAAUGGAUUUGAUACAUGAGAAAGGCCACACGGGAAAGAAUACUUGGAGGCAGUGGAGGGGCAACUGCUGCCGAAGGGUCUGCCCAGUGGAUCUUGGAACAGAAUCAGGAUCCUUCCCUGCUUGAACAACAGAAGCAGUAAGUGCUGAGAGCUGACCCGGACCAGACCGAGGCCUUAUCUCAGCUGUGCGCCCACAGACUGACUUCGCAUUUGGAUGUUCGUAUGUUGUAGUUACUAUUGUUUCUGCGUGGAAAGGUCUUUGCUCAGAGCUACAAGUGACUGCCUCAUUAUUCUGGUCUCAGCUCGGCUUCUCUUCUUGUUGCCUUUAAUGACCCUCUUACUCAAAUUAGCUCUCCCAUCCAUCACCGUUCAGAGAUAGAGACAGCCAGCGAGAGAGGGAACACAAGCAGGGGGAGUGGGAGAGGAAGAAG